GGGCAACCAGGCUACUGGAUUCCAAGAAAUGGAUAGAGGAAACUCUUCAGAUUAAGAAUCAGGAGAAUUGAAGAUAUUCAGCAAAUUUCUUUGUUGGCAUCUCUAAUGUGAUUAAGAUAUCAGAGUUUUGGGGAACAAAGGUAUAGUGGUUGCUUCUGGCUACGGCACAUGCGCUCCCUCUGCAGGCCCAAAUUAUGAGAGCACCAGUUGGUUAGGCAGCACAGCUGAUUUUCUUGAUGCUCUCAAGCUAGGAUGUCUAUGCUCUUGAUAAUAUUGUCCAUGGUUGUGGCUACUACUCAUGUAAGAGUGUGUGUAUAUGACCUGGGCAUUUCUUUGGAUUUCUUAGUGGUCAAGGCAGUGGUUUGUUCAGACAGAAAUUCCAGCCCAUGCAUGGUCAUCUGUGAGAGUGAGUCCUUUGAGGUUUAUAUCAAGUUUUUGGGAUUCGAUUUGCAAGGUUUCUUUAAGUCCUGGAGGAAAAGGUCAAGUGCAAGGAAGUCCAGCAUCUCAAUAGGGUUUUGGGCAGUCAGGUUUUAGUUCUUGGUGAUUCAGGAGUCAGGCAGGAGAGAGAAAAAUUGGAAAUGUUCGUUUGAAGGGUCGUAGCCAGAUAUUGAAGAAAACGGAAAGAACUGAAAGUUUGUUAAACAACUGACCAAGAAUCUGGGCAAGGUAGCAGGAUCCAGUCUAAUUUGCAGGUAGGAACCCUAACUGGUGUUUCCUGAGGAAGAGAAAGUCAACUAAAUCUCCAUCAGACAAGACAGAGUUUGUAUGAUAUAUAUCAGUUUCCUUCAAUUUAUAAAGUGAUGCACAAUAGUUCAAAGAUAAUGAACAGGACCAGAAUCUGAUAAACCAGAAAUAUGUGCUACAGAUGAUACAGAGUUUUCCACCGAAAUAAAAUUUUUCUUUAUAGUACUGAAAAAUAUUCACUUACCAAUUCUGUGAACAUUUGUUAUAUAGUUUAGACUAUAAUGAAUAUUCAAUUCAGUAUUCUGAUUUAUUUUUUCUCAAUUAGAAAGGAAUUCAUUAGAAGAGGAAAAUGUUAUAUAUUUGUGGAAUGGCACACCACUCUGAAAACAGAAUCUAGUUUUUAAUGCUAAAAAAUUAGGAAAUGAAGUUUAAAAAUCAACGAGCUAUAAACUGAGAAAUACAGAGGAAGGAAAUGAUACUGCAGAAUGUCAAAUAUUUAUGUAGUGGACUCUCACAAGUGAGUUUCACAUAUUUAUUUUUGGAUCCCUCCAGCAGGAACCGACAUCAGCACUGAGAAGCCGUUUAUUGAAGUAUGGGAAUGAGUGUGUUUUGAUCCUAACUGGAGAGUGUUUUGUCUGCCUUAGUGAAAGGAGAAGCUGAAGAACGCAGCAGCCAUCGUGCCUGCUAAUUUUGAUGUUAUGAUUUAAUACCAGGGGCUUUUCAUCAGGAGAACCAGAGGCAGGAGUGCCUGUAAUCUGAGGCAGCCAAUGAAAGUGUUAGAGAAGAAGACAAACAAGGGAAAAGAAGACAUAAACAAGAGACUGACUUUGUGAGGAUCAUCUGCGAUGGGUUGUGGAGAAGGAAUGAAUGAUGCAUAGAAAGAAAUGAUAGUACAUAAAUGGUUCGUUCCUUAGGAAACCGACCCUCAGGCAAGGGACUGAAACUCAUCAGAUCACUGCAUCUGGACAAUGAGAUGCCAGACCCCUCAUCCAUCAUCAUUGCUUUCUUUCCCCUCCUUAAUUCCUGUUUUCCCACCUUCCCUACUAUAUAAAACCCCCAGUUGGAGAGAUGGGUUUGAGACUUUAUCUGUCGUUCUCCUUGGUCACAGCACCCAAUUAAAGCCUUCUUCCCUGGUAAUACUCAUUGUUUCAGUGGUUGGCGUUCUGUGUGGCCAUCAGCAGGGCCUGGACUGAAUCCCUGGCAUUUCGG
This 1893-nucleotide long non-coding RNA is filed under the name Homo sapiens (human). Its description in RNAcentral is "HSALNT0282246". The record is from RNAcentral. Lineage: Eukaryota; Metazoa; Chordata; Mammalia; Primates; Hominidae.